UGAACGCUAGCUACAGGCUUAACACAUGCAAGUCGAGGGGCAGCAUGACGAUAGCUUGCUAUUGUCGAUGGCGACCGGCGCACGGGUGAGUAACGCGUAUCCAACCUUCCCGUUGCUAGGGGAUAACCUUGCGAAAGUAAGACUAAUACCCUAUGAUGUUCUUCGCAGACAUCUAAAGAGAACGAAAGAUUUAUCGGCAACGGAUGGGGAUGCGUCUGAUUAGCUUGUUGGCGGGGCAACGGCCCACCAAGGCGACGAUCAGUAGGGGUUCUGAGAGGAAAGCCCCCCACAUUGGAACUGAGACACGGUCCAAACUCCUACGGGAGGCAGCAGUGAGGAAUAUUGGUCAAUGGGCGAGAGCCUGAACCAGCCAAGUAGCGUGCAGGAUGACGGCCCUAUGGGUUGUAAACUGCUUUUAUGCGGGGAUAAAGCGGGCGACGUGUCGCCCUUUGCAGGUACCGCAUGAAUAAGGACCGGCUAAUUCCGUG
RNAcentral lists this ribosomal RNA (488 nucleotides) under uncultured bacterium. Its description in RNAcentral is "bacterial SSU rRNA". It matches the Rfam family "Bacterial small subunit ribosomal RNA", at positions 30 to 507 of the family's 1533-position model. The record is from RNAcentral.